UCGGGAUAACACCUGGAAACAGAUGCUAAUACCGGAUAACAACAGAUGAUGCCUAUCAACUGUUUAAAAGAUGGUUCUGCUAUCACUCUUGGAUGGACCUGCGGUGCAUUAGCUAGUUGGUAGGGUAACGGCCUACCAAGGCAAUGAUGCAUAGCCGAGUUGAGAGACUGAUCGGCCACAUUGGGACUGAGACACGGCCCAAACUCCUACGGGAGGCAGCAGUG
This 224-nucleotide ribosomal RNA is filed under the name uncultured Lactobacillus sp. RNAcentral describes it as "partial 16S ribosomal RNA". It matches the Rfam family "Bacterial small subunit ribosomal RNA", at positions 138 to 356 of the family's 1533-position model. Lineage: Bacteria; Bacillati; Bacillota; Bacilli; Lactobacillales; Lactobacillaceae. The record is from RNAcentral.